UAGGGAAUCUUCCGCAAUGGGCGAAAGCCUGACGGAGCAACGCCGCGUGAGUGAUGAAGGUCUUCGGAUCGUAAAACUCUGUUAUUAGGGAAGAACAAAGGUGUAAGUAACUAUGCACGUCUUGACGGUACCUAAUCAGAAAGCCACGGCUAACUACGUGCCAGCAGCCGCGGUAAUACGUAGGUGGCAAGCGUUAUCCGGAAUUAUUGGGCGUAAAGCGGGCGUAGGCGGUUUUUUAAGUCUGAUGUGAAAGCCCACGGCUCAACCGUGGAGGGUCAUUGGAAACUGGAAAACUUGAGUGCAGAAGAGGAAAGUGGAAUUCCAUGUGUAGCGGUGAAAGGCGCAGAGAUAUGGAGGAACACCAGUGGCGAAGGCGACUUUCUGGUCUGUAACUGACGCUGAUGUGCGAAAGCGUGGGGAUCAAACAGG
This 429-nucleotide ribosomal RNA is filed under the name Actinomycetes bacterium. Its description in RNAcentral is "Actinobacteria bacterium partial 16S ribosomal RNA". It matches the Rfam family "Bacterial small subunit ribosomal RNA", at positions 355 to 776 of the family's 1533-position model. Lineage: Bacteria; Bacillati; Actinomycetota; Actinomycetes. The record is from RNAcentral.